GACGUAGGGCGCGAGCGUUGUCCGGAUUUAUUGGGCGUAAAGAGCUCGUAGGCGGCUCGUUGCGUCGGCUGUGAAAACCCGCAGCUCAACUGUGGGCUUGCAGCCGAUACGGGCGGGCUGGAGUUCGGUAGGGGAGACUGGAAUUCCUGGUGUAGCGGUGAAAUGCGCAGAUAUCAGGAAGAACACCCGUGGCGAAGGCGGCUCUCUGGGACGGUACUGACGCUGAGACGCGAAAGCGUGGGGAGCGAACAGG
Molecule: ribosomal RNA, 253 nt
Filed under: uncultured bacterium
Lineage: Bacteria
Description: partial 16S ribosomal RNA
Rfam family: Bacterial small subunit ribosomal RNA
Source: RNAcentral